UACAUUUGCGCCGAUUUUGGUUUUGCAUUCAAUAUUGUUUUGAUGCAAAUUAAAAGGGAAGUUGGUGUAAAACCAACGCUGUACCCGCAACUGUAAGCUAUAAAGCUUGUAACUAAUUCUUUAACCACUGUUUAAAACGGGAAGGUUUUGUUACAAGACGCAAGCCAGGAGACCUGCCAAAAAUCAAACAAAAAG
This 195-nucleotide non-coding RNA is filed under the name Tenacibaculum todarodis. Lineage: Bacteria; Pseudomonadati; Bacteroidota; Flavobacteriia; Flavobacteriales; Flavobacteriaceae. The record is from RNAcentral. RNAcentral also lists the same sequence under 1 other name.